This 653-nucleotide long non-coding RNA is filed under the name Mytilus galloprovincialis (Mediterranean mussel). Lineage: Eukaryota; Metazoa; Mollusca; Bivalvia; Mytilida; Mytilidae. The record is from RNAcentral.
AUUAUUAUGGAAAAUAAUGUAUAUUGAUUAAAUAUCUAUCAAAUAUAACAAUUAGUAAGGAUUAACAAGGAAUUAAUAGAGAUACAUUAAUGAAUACAAUGCAUUAGCACUUUUUUUUAAUUAUAGUCAAACGAUAGGAAAGCAACGAUUUUUAAAAUGUUACUUGAUUGUUAUAGAAAUUCAGAUGAAAUAGAACUCUCUUUUUUUUUAAAAGGGUUUCGCAGAACCCUGUGUUUCGCCUGCUUUUGCUACUGUCAAUGCAACAAAGUAGUAAUGAAUGCUCUGCUUACUGAUUUUUUUUUUGUCACAAGAAAGUUGCUGUCAGUAAUUCAUAAAAUCCUUUGAAUGUUUGAAAACAUUAUUGAUGUAAAAAAAAAAUCAUUCACCAUUUACCAAAAUGUUAACGAUAACGACGACACAAUCCAGAAUCACUAUGUUCCGUUUCCACAUAUUUUUGCAGGCUCGACAAAAUAGAAAUACCAAGAAACAGUCCAUAACCAGGUGCUCCGCAGGGCGCAGCUUUAUACGACCGCAGAGGUCGAACCCUGAACAGUUGGGGCAAGUAUGGACAAAACAUUCAAGCGUGAUACAGCUCUGAAUUUGGAUUGUGAUCAAAUUUUGGACAUUACAUGGGUUUUUUUUUUACACAAAAC